RNAcentral lists this ribosomal RNA (1496 nucleotides) under uncultured organism. Its description in RNAcentral is "SSU rRNA". It matches the Rfam family "Bacterial small subunit ribosomal RNA". The record is from RNAcentral.
AGGAUGAACGCUGGCGGCGUGCCUAAUACAUGCAAGUCGAACGAGUUCUGAUUAUUGAAAGGUGCUUGCAUCUUGAUUUUAAUUUUGAACGAGUGGCGGACGGGUGAGUAACACGUGGGUAACCUGCCCUUAAGUGGGGGAUAACAUUUGGAAACAGAUGCUAAUACCGCAUAAAUCCAAGAACCGCAUGGUUCUUGGCUGAAAGAUGGCGUAAGCUAUCGCUUUUGGAUGGACCCGCGGCGUAUUAGCUAGUUGGUGAGGUAACGGCUCACCAAGGCAAUGAUACGUAGCCGAACUGAGAGGUUGAUCGGCCACAUUGGGACUGAGACACGGCCCAAACUCCUACGGGAGGCAGCAGUAGGGAAUCUUCCACAAUGGACGCAAGUCUGAUGGAGCAACGCCGCGUGAGUGAAGAAGGCUUUCGGGUCGUAAAACUCUGUUGUUGGAGAAGAAUGGUCGGCAGAGUAACUGUUGUCGGCGUGACGGUAUCCAACCAGAAAGCCACGGCUAACUACGUGCCAGCAGCCGCGGUAAUACGUAGGUGGCAAGCGUUAUCCGGAUUUAUUGGGCGUAAAGCGAGCGCAGGCGGUUUUUUAAGUCUGAUGUGAAAGCCCUCGGCUUAACCGAGGAAGUGCAUCGGAAACUGGGAAACUUGAGUGCAGAAGAGGACAGUGGAACUCCAUGUGUAGCGGUGAAAUGCGUAGAUAUAUGGAAGGACACCAGUGGCGAAGGCGGCUGUCUGGUCUGUAACUGACGCUGAGGCUCGAAAGCAUGGGUAGCGAACAGGAUUAGAUACCCUGGUAGUCCAUGCCGUAAACGAUGAAUGCUAGGUGUUGGAGGGUUUCCGCCCUUCAGUGCCGCAGCUAACGCAUUAAGCAUUCCGCCUGGGGAGUACGACCGCAAGGUUGAAACUCAAAGGAAUUGACGGGGGCCCGCACAAGCGGUGGAGCAUGUGGUUUAAUUCGAAGCAACGCGAAGAACCUUACCAGGUCUUGACAUCUUUUGAUCACCUGAGAGAUCAGGUUUCCCCUUCGGGGGCAAAAUGACAGGUGGUGCAUGGUUGUCGUCAGCUCGUGUCGUGAGAUGUUGGGUUAAGUCCCGCAACGAGCGCAACCCUUAUGACUAGUUGCCAGCAUUUAGUUGGGCACUCUAGUAAGACUGCCGGUGACAAACCGGAGGAAGGUGGGGAUGACGUCAAAUCAUCAUGCCCCUUAUGACCUGGGCUACACACGUGCUACAAUGGAUGGUACAACGAGUUGCGAGACCGCGAGGUCAAGCUAAUCUCUUAAAGCCAUUCUCAGUUCGGACUGUAGGCUGCAACUCGCCUACACGAAGUCGGAAUCGCUAGUAAUCGCGGAUCAGCACGCCGCGGUGAAUACGUUCCCGGGCCUUGUACACACCGCCCGUCACACCAUGAGAGUUUGUAACACCCGAAGCCGGUGGCGUAACCCUUUUAGGGAGCGAGCCGUCUAAGGUGGGACAAAUGAUUAGGGUGA